AAUCAACGCUGGCGGCGUGCCUAACACAUGCAAGUCGAGCGAGAAAAGGGGAGCAAUCCCCUGAGUACAGCGGCGCACGGGUGAGUAACACGUGGGUAAUCUGCCCUGGAGUGGGGAAUAACACCGGGAAACCGGUGCUAAUACCGCAUACGAUCACAGAGUCUGCGGAUUUUGUGAUGAAAGGAGCAAUUCGCUCUAGGAGGAGCCCGCGGCUGAUUAGCUAGUUGGUGAGGUAAUGGCUCACCAAGGCAACGAUCAGUAUCCGGUCUGAGAGGACGGUCGGACACACUGGAACUGAGACACGGUCCAGACUCCUACGGGAGGCAGCAGUGGGGAAUUUUUGGCAAUGGGGGCAACCCUGACCAAGCAACGCCGCGUGGGUGAUGAAGUCUCUUGGGACGUAAAACCCUUUCGACGGGGACGAAGCCGCAAGGUUGACGGUACCCGUAGAAGAAGCCCCGGCUAACUCCGUGCCAGCAGCCGCGGUAAUACGGGGGGGGCAAGCGUUGUUCGGAAUUACUGGGCGUAAAGGGUGCGUAGGCGGUUCGCUAAGUUGGAUGUGAAAACUCUGGGCUCCACCCAGAGCCUGAUCCAAACU
This 598-nucleotide ribosomal RNA is filed under the name uncultured soil bacterium. RNAcentral's name for it is "bacterial SSU rRNA". It matches the Rfam family "Bacterial small subunit ribosomal RNA", at positions 28 to 634 of the family's 1533-position model. The record is from RNAcentral.